CACGUAGGCGGAUUUUUAAGUCGAUUGUGAAAUCCCCGGGCUUAACCUGGGAUGUGCAGUCGAAACUGAAGGUCUUGAAUGCCAGAGAGGGUGGCGGAAUUCCUGGUGUAGAAGUGAAAUUCGUAGAUAUCAGGAGGAACACCGGAGCCGAAGGGGGCUACCUGGCUGUGCAUUGACGCUGAGGUGCGAAAGCGCGGGGAGCAAACAGGAUUAGAUACCCUGGUAGUCCGCGCCAUAAACGAUGGAUACUAGGUGUUCGGAGAGUUAACCCUCUGAGUACCGAAGCUAACGCAUUAAGUAUCCCGCCUGGGGACUACGGCCGCAAGGUUAAA
RNAcentral lists this ribosomal RNA (332 nucleotides) under uncultured bacterium. RNAcentral describes it as "bacterial SSU rRNA". It matches the Rfam family "Bacterial small subunit ribosomal RNA", at positions 568 to 898 of the family's 1533-position model. The record is from RNAcentral.